Molecule: long non-coding RNA, 782 nt
Organism: Oncorhynchus keta (chum salmon)
Lineage: Eukaryota; Metazoa; Chordata; Actinopteri; Salmoniformes; Salmonidae
Exons: 4
Source: RefSeq, a predicted model, not a curated record
AUGGUUUAAGUUCUGUGAUUCUAUUAAUAAAACCAACUAGUUAACUUUCAUUGCUAAUACACCAGUGACUUUGUCUUUUCAGAUGUGGCAGCAAAAAUAUAUUGGACAGAUAUAUAAAGACAGAAGCAUCAAAUACCUCAAAAUGAGCAACAGAGGGAACAAAAAAAUACUAAAAUGGCAUGCCAGAGACAGCAAUAAAAGGCUGCACUACACCACUGCUGGUCCAAAUUGAGGCAGAUUUUGAAGCGUUAUUGUACUGACAUCGGACAGAGCAUCAAAGACGGACAUGAAAAAGCGAAGGCAGCAUUGCCAGAAGACAGGCUUUGGUCAGUCGCUUAAAAGAGCUCUCUGCUGAAGAGGCAGCAAUUUGAUGGGGCAACUGAACAUAUGAUGUCUGAUGUGGAGACGGACCCAGAAGACCUCAAUGCAUUUUUAAUAACCUCCCCACCCUGGUAUUCCCCUGAGUUUGAGGACCUGAUUGCAUCAGCACACCAGAGAAAAAAGGGGCAAAGCACACUUAUGGGGUGAAAACGCUCCUUCAGAACGAAAACUGGAGCAAACAUCCACUGCAGUCCUAACUAGAACGUAUGCAAUAAACCACAGACAAUCACCUGCACCUUAGAGACUAUUUUCACUGACUCUUCACACUUGCUCCUCAAGACACUUUUUGCACCAACUUCCACACAUGCAGGUGCGCGCACACACACACACACACACAAUUACUGCUACUAUUUAUAAUUUCUUAUAUAAGAUGCUCCACCAUGUCUACCACAUUUUAUAGU